Molecule: ribosomal RNA, 433 nt
Filed under: uncultured bacterium
Lineage: Bacteria
Description: partial 16S ribosomal RNA
Rfam family: Bacterial small subunit ribosomal RNA
Source: RNAcentral
AACGAACGCUGGCGGCAGGCCUAACACAUGCCAGUCGAGCGAGACCUUCGGGUCUAGCGGCGGACGGGUGAGUAACGCGUGGGAACGUGCCCUUUUCUACGGAAUAGCCUCGGGAAACUGAGCGUAAUACCGUAUACGCCCUUUGGGGGAAAGAUUUAUCGGAGAAGGAUCGGCCCGCGUUGGAUUAGGUAGUUGGUGGGGUAAUGGCCUACCAAGCCUACGAUCCAUAGCUGGUUUGAGAGGAUGAUCAGCCACACUGGGACUGAGACACGGCCCAGACUCCUACGGGAGGCAGCAGUGGGGAAUCUUAGACAAUGGGGGCAACCCUGAUCGAGCCAUGCCGCGUGAGUGAUGAAGGCCUUAGGGUUGUAAAGCUCUUUCAGCUGGGAAGAUAAUGACGGUACCAGCAGAAGAAGCCCCGGCUAACUCCGUG